RNAcentral lists this long non-coding RNA (205 nucleotides) under Homo sapiens (human). Its description in RNAcentral is "HSALNT0090102". Lineage: Eukaryota; Metazoa; Chordata; Mammalia; Primates; Hominidae. The record is from RNAcentral.
CAAUAAAACUGGCUAUUGGCAGAGGGGAAUCGAACGUCUGACUUGUGAGUCUAAAAGAGCCAGCUGUUCCAGCCUCCAGGAUUCAGUGAGAACUUCCUAUUUCAAGUUAUAUCAAAGAGCCAGAGGGUCUUGGUUGGUGGGUCUGAUGAGGGUAUCUCAGAAACAUUGUAUUGAGACGGUGGAGGGAACCAGUAACCACAGCCUA